AGGUCUUGACAUCGGCAUGACCGGCUUAGAGAUAAGCUUUUCCUUCGGGACAUGCCAGACAGGUGGUGCAUGGUUGUCGUCAGCUCGUGUCGUGAGAUGUUGGGUUAAGUCCCGCAACGAGCGCAACCCUUGACUUUAGUUGCCAGCAUUUUAAGAUGGGCACUCUAGAGUGACUGCCGGUGACAAACCGGAGGAAGGCGGGGAUGACGUCAAAUCAUCAUGCCCCUUAUGACCUGGGCUACACACGUACUACAAUGGCCGGUACAGAGGGCUGCGAAGCCGCGAGGUGGAGCCAAUCCCAGAAAGCCGGUCUCAGUUCGGAUUGCAGGCUGCAACUCGCCUGCAUGAAGUCGGAAUUGCUAGUAAUCGCGGAUCAGCAUGCCGCGGUGAAUACGUUCCCGGGUC
This 405-nucleotide ribosomal RNA is filed under the name uncultured bacterium. Its description in RNAcentral is "bacterial SSU rRNA". It matches the Rfam family "Bacterial small subunit ribosomal RNA", at positions 976 to 1380 of the family's 1533-position model. The record is from RNAcentral.